GGCAAAAGCUCAAAUUUGAAAUCUGGUACCUUCGGUGCCCGAGUUGUAAUUUGGAGAGGGCAACUUUGGGGCCGUUCCUUGUCUAUGUUCCUUGGAACAGGACGUCAUAGAGGGUGAGAAUCCCGUGUGGCGAGGAGUGCGGUUCUUUGUAAAGUGCCUUCGAAGAGUCGAGUUGUUUGGGAAUGCAGCUCUAAGUGGGUGGUAAAUUCCAUCUAAAGCUAAAUAUUGGCGAGAGACCGAUAGCGAACAAGUACAGUGAUGGAAAGAUGAAAAGAACUUUGAAAAGAGAGUGAAAAAGUACGUGAAAUUGUUGAAAGGGAAGGGCAUUUGAUCAGACAUGGUGUUUUGUGCCCUCUGCUCCUUGUGGGUAGGGGAAUCUCGCAUUUCACUGGGCCAGCAUCAGUUUUGGUGGCAGGAUAAAUCCAUAGGAAUGUAGCUUGCCUCGGUAAGUAUUAUAGCCUGUGGGAAUACUGCCAGCUGGGACUGAGGACUGCGACGUAAGUCAAGGAUGCUGGCAUAAUGGUUAUAUGCCGCCCG
Molecule: ribosomal RNA, 537 nt
Filed under: Saccharomyces cerevisiae (brewer's yeast)
Lineage: Eukaryota; Fungi; Ascomycota; Saccharomycetes; Saccharomycetales; Saccharomycetaceae
Description: partial large subunit ribosomal RNA
Rfam family: Eukaryotic large subunit ribosomal RNA
Source: RNAcentral